UACGAAGGUCCCAAGCGUUGUUCGGAUUCACUGGGCGUAAAGGGUGCGCAGGUGGUUUGGCAAGUUUGGCGUGAAAGCUUCGGGCUUAACCCGGAAAUGGCGUUGAAAACUGCUGAACUGGAGGAUCGGAGGGGGGACUGGAAUUCUUGGUGUAGCAGUGAAAUGCGUAGAUAUCUGGAGGAACACCGGUGGCGAAGGCGGCAUCCUGGACCGGCAUUGACGCUGAGGCGCGAAAGCUAGGGGAGCAAACGGG
This 253-nucleotide ribosomal RNA is filed under the name uncultured prokaryote. RNAcentral's name for it is "partial 16S ribosomal RNA". It matches the Rfam family "Bacterial small subunit ribosomal RNA", at positions 524 to 776 of the family's 1533-position model. The record is from RNAcentral.